RNAcentral lists this small RNA (3469 nucleotides) under Rattus norvegicus (Norway rat). RNAcentral describes it as "uncharacterized LOC108351167". Lineage: Eukaryota; Metazoa; Chordata; Mammalia; Rodentia; Muridae. The record is from RNAcentral.
CCGUGUGUGGAGGGGGAGAAUUCCUACGGGUGGGUUUCCGAAUAUUGUGUUCAACUUUUUGAAAGCAGCUCGUGACCCCGAAACUGCAUCCCCCCCGGAGCCGGGGACCCAGGCGCCAGGCGGGCGGGUGAACCCGGCCAGUCCCUCCCAAUCCCCGCAACCCCCCGCCUCCGUGUGUGGGGGGGGGACCCAGGCCUGGAGGAAGGCUGGGCAGGUGCCGAGGGCUGUGCCGAAAGCGCUGAAAUCGAAAACCCUCGCCACUCAGGAAGAAUUGAGGCACAAGGAUUACAGAUGCAGCUCGGGAACAGCCCUGUACUCCAGCCAGUGCCUGGUCGCCCGUGGGCCCACCGGGCUCCGCGGUUCGCUGGCGGCGCCGCCUUGUGAGCGCUAAAGCCGGGAGGAGGGCUCAGGCAAGGCGCGCAGCUCUGAGCGCGCCCCUACCCGCUUCGGCCCGCAGCAGCCGGGACUUGCCUCUCCGCAAGUAAGGCUCUGCGCCGCCCUCUGAGUCCACCUCCAGGCCACAACACUGCCAGCGCUUCUGCAGCUUAGACUGGAAACACUAUGCUGCCUCCCGAAGCCGGGCCAGCUGUAAAUCAGUGAAGCAGCCCAGCUCCUCAAAGAUCCGGAGCUGGCCGACCCCAGACUGAUUCUCAACAGGUGGCUGGGUUACCAAACAGCUUGGACCUUUGAAUCAGAUCUCUGGAGUGAGCACUAAGAACUUGAGCCAUACAGAUCUCAGGGCCUGGCCUUUUCACUCCGCCACGAAGGCUGCUUGAGGGAGGGGAAGAGGUGGCUUCACUCAGCGCCAAAGCACAGAAAAAGGCUGACAGUUAGACUAAUAUUCAUCCUUUAAGAAUAUACUACCUGAAGUUAGUCGCAAGUCAUCUUCAAUCACGGAAAGGAAAAAAAAAACAAAAAAACAAAAAAACCAAACACCUCACAUCUGGAAGAUUCUCUGAAGCCACUUCCAACAGCACCAGAACGAGUGCACUCAGGCCCUGCUCUGUGCACGCCCCAGUGUCUGCUGUCUCGCGGGCAGGUGAAAAUACUGGCUGCCAAGGCCAGAGGAGAGAAGACAGUGGAGGAUUACUUACCGCUAGAGUUGUUUGGAAACUUGUGAUAACUGUUUUCAAUACUCUGCCUCUGCUAUCCAGGUCCUAGGUCCCUCUAGGGACCCUGAAAAGUGGCUUUGCCCCAGGGUGCCUAGAGGGAGACAGUGAUUCGAACUCUGGCUCUCUCCUACUGGGAGCUUAAAGUUGGGGUGAAGGCUUAAGGAGGAGACGAGGGGGCGGGCCCUGCUAGUUUGCAGUGGUAAGCGCAUCUGUGCCUAGGUCGCCAAAAGGUUCCCUGAGGUUAACUAUGGAGCCUCGGCUCUCUCCUGAGACCCAGGGCAACACAGAUGAUGGUGGUCGGUAUGUCAGUCUAAAUGUCACAAGACUUCACUGGUCUCUUAUUUUGGCUGUUUGUAGCUACUCUCUGCCAGGGAGGUUCUAGAAGCUAUUCACACCCGUCCUGAAUCUAUCCUGUGAGGUGGCAGAGGGUAGCUUGUUUUUGUAAAGGUUAGCAUAAUACUUAGUAGGAAGAAUACACUAGAGGAAGGUGUGAAAAAAGCCUAGGACUCUCAAACUUACCAACCUUACAGCCCACCCAAAGCCCAGAACCUCCCCUUGCACACCUCCUCUCCCCAAGACAGAUCCAUCUGGUGUUCACGGAAGGUAUUCACACUGCAAGUGUCUGGGAACACACUUAGGAAAAUUAUAGGAACUGGAGGAAUAAAGUACUUUAUUCCUCAGUACUGGAGGAAUAAAGAUAUGUCCAAGGAAUGGAUCGAAUGCAUGGACACUCACCCUGUCGUCCAGGAUGCAGACAAAAACUACUUUGUCCACAUGGGUACUUUCUACAAGAUAUCCAGUGACCCUGGAGAAAGAAACUUCGUUGAAUCUUCUGUAUGGAAUGUUUCAGGCCACGUUCUGAAGAAAGGGCCAAGGAAUCCUCUAUCCCAGAGGCUCCCUUUGGGUUCUCCUACCUGCUCUGUUGGAGACACCCAGAAGAGGGCAAUACAGGAAGGUUCCUUUUUGCUUCAGUUAUUUCUGUUGGUUGUCUUUUUCACCCUUUGCCUGGGAAAUUGUGCUCUGGAAUAGGGCUUGAGUAAACAGCACAGAUGGCCUCCACUACAUGACAAGAGAUUCUCAAUUUCCAGAUAAGGGAAAGCCCUGUUUUGUCCCCUUUUCUCCUCUGUGGUCUGAAAAAACAAAAAACAAAAAACAACCCUAUAGCCCAACCCCGUGUACAUCAAACAAACCCACAAGGAAUAUGCUAGACCAAGAUAGUUAUAUAUUUUACUAAUUUUCUUUUGUGAGAUAGUGAGAAGUCUUCAACUUCCUCUAUUCCAGGCAGGGAUUGAGGCCCUAGCCUGAAAGAGACCUCACCAACCGGGUUUCCACAGUGAUUCUGGGGCUCGGCUUAAGGUUGCUUUUCUCUCACCCCCGAAUGGGGAGUCACCUGCUGAUGCACGUCAGGAGAGCCUGAAGAAGUGAGCAUCAACGCUCCAGAGAUGGGUCCUCACCUCCCAAGGUGCCUUCACUCCCAGAGGGCCCGGGCUCUCUGCCACAGCCCAACACUGGGCUUGCGCUCAGAGAGAAGGAAUAAGUGCUCUGAGGUUUGAACUCUGAAGUAUAAACUUACUCUGGCUGUGGUGGCAUAGACUUGUGGUACGUCAGCAGUCCACGGUCAGCCUUGUCUACAUAGCAAGUUUAAGGCCAGUCUGGACUACAUGAGACCAUGUCUGAAAAAAAGAAAAGCCCCAAGUGGAAAACGGAAAGCAGAAAAGAGAAUAUUCCUAGUGCGACAAGAAAUGUUCACCUCUCUCGAUGAUUUCUCUGCAGAAUGUGUUUAUAUGCUACGUGAUCUGUGGAGAAUCACCAAGCUGUGGAGGAAGAGAGGAAUAUGUAGACCCAAGCAGAAUUCUCAAAGAAUUUCUAGACGCUCCGAACCCAAGUCACACAGGCUUUAAGUAUUGGUCAAUCUCCAGGAAUGAAACAGAAACUUACUCCACCACUCAAGUCCUGUUUCUGAUCGAGGGACUAAAGGGCUAGGCCAACCAGUGGUUGCCAUGGAAGCUGCAUUAUGGAGUCCUGUCCUGCAAGGAGAGUUAGAUUAGAAGGAGCUGGGAUUCUUGGAAUCUGCAGAAGCAGCAUGCUGGGUAGGAAGAACCCAGAAAGCGUGCCUCUGAGACAGUCAGUCUGUCCACAUACAAAAGGCAGGCACCCACAGGGCUGGGGGGGCUAUUAAGUCAAACCUGGAGUCACAACCCCAGUGCCGUCAGACGGUCCCCAACCCUUUGCAGCAAGGUAGACAUGUGUCAGUGUGGCUGAAAAGCUUCUUCUGUGAGGUUUAACAACUUUCUGGUGUAACUUCUGAGAGGACUGAUUGCUUAUUCAUGUGGAAGCAAGACGCCCAGUUCACUUCG